GAGUAUGCCUAGGAAUCUGCCUAGUCGGGGGGGAUAACGUCCGGAAGGAGACGCUAAUACCGCAUACGUCCUACGGGAGAAAGGGGGGAUCUUCGGACCUCACGCUAUUAGAUGAGCCUAGGUCGGAUUAGCUAGUUGGUGAGGUAAUGGCUCACCAAGGCGACGAUCCGUAACUGGUCUGAGAGGAUGAUCAGUCACACUGGAACUGAGACACGGCCAGACUCACUACGGGAGGCAGCAGUGGGGAAUAUUGGACAAUGGGCGAAAGCCUGAUCCAGCCAUGCCGCGCGUGUGAAGAAGGUCUUCGGAUUGUAAAGCACUUUAAGUUGGGAGGAAGGGCAGUUACCUAAUACGUGAUUGUUUUGACGUUACCGACAGAAUAAGCACCGACUAACUCUGUGCCAGCAGCCGCGGUAAUACAGAGGGUGCAAGCGUUAAUCGGAAUUACUGGGCGUAAAGCGCGCGUAGGUGGUUUGUUAAGUUGGAUGUGAAAGCCCCGGGCUCAACCUGGGAACUGCAUCCAAAACUGGCAAGCUAGAGUAUGGAAGAGGGUGGUGGAAUUUCCUGUGUAGCGGUGAAAUGCGUAGAUUUAGGAAGGAACACCAGUGGCGAAGGGCGACCACCUGGACUGAUACUGACACUGAGGUGCGAAAAGCGUGGGGAGCAAACAGGAUUAGAUUCCCUGGUAGUCCACGCCGUAAACGAUGUCAACUAGCCGUUGGAAGCCUUUGAGUUUUUAGGGGCGCAGUUAACGCAUUAAGUUGACCGCCUGGGGAGUACGGCCGCAAGUUUAAAAACUCAAAUGAAUUGAC
Molecule: ribosomal RNA, 812 nt
Filed under: Pseudomonas protegens
Lineage: Bacteria; Pseudomonadati; Pseudomonadota; Gammaproteobacteria; Pseudomonadales; Pseudomonadaceae
Description: bacterial SSU rRNA
Rfam family: Bacterial small subunit ribosomal RNA
Source: RNAcentral